AGAACGAACGCUGGCGGCAUGCCUAAUACAUGCAAGUCGAACGAACACUUCGGUGUUAGUGGCGCACGGGUGCGUAACGCGUGGGAAUCUGCCCUUGGGUUCGGAAUAACAGUUGGAAACGACUGCUAAUACCGGAUGAUAUCGAAAGAUCAAAGAUUUAUCGCCCAGGGAUGAGCCCGCGUAGGAUUAGCUAGUUGGUGAGGUAAGGCUCACCAAGGCGACGAUCCUUAGCUGGUCUGGAGAGGAUGACUCAGCCACACGUAGGGACUGACGACCGACGGCCCAGACCUACCGUACGGGACGGCAGCGAAGGUAGGGAAUGUAGGACAAGU
Molecule: ribosomal RNA, 332 nt
Filed under: uncultured soil bacterium
Lineage: Bacteria
Description: bacterial SSU rRNA
Rfam family: Bacterial small subunit ribosomal RNA
Source: RNAcentral